AGGUUAUCUGCAUAUAAAUUAUGUUUCCAUUAAAGUGUGUUAAGUAACAUGCACUGUUUUAAUAUAUCUUUCGGUUCAUUAUGUUUAGCUAAAAAUGAGUCAGCAUAAUUUUAGCAUAAUUUAUUAUUACAUUUAGUACAUGUUGGGUAGAGUUAGCAGAUUUUCACAGCACGUCUAGCACAUUUUCAGGAUGAAGUGCUUAAGAAAGUGAUGUAUACUGAAAAGAAGAGUGUGUAGAAGUGAAAAAGAAGAAAAGAGGAAGGAAAGAAGGAGGACCUAAGAAGCGAUACAAAGCGGCACAGGUCAAAAGAAGAAGAAGAAGAAGAGAGUGUGCCGCUGCUAACACUCCGGUACAAAAUUUCAUCUGAAGCAGCUCGACGCCUCUCCCUAGUGGCUGUCUCCCAACGGUAGCACAUAGAGUAUCAGAGGUUUUGACACAAGGGCUGUAUGCUGCACUCUGAGAUCCACCAUGGAGGAUUUGCUGUCGAGUCUUGGUGGGAUUGAAGUGACAUCCUGCCCCAACAACCCCCAUGCUGAGCAUCCCCACUUUGCCCUUUACAAGGUCAAGGCCACUGGGUCCUCCCAGGAUGAGCAGCGCAAGAUGGUUCUGCAGGCCAGGAAGGAGGCCCGAUAUGACUUGUUGUCACUGAUCCGCAACAUUGAUGAAGCUUCAGGUGAUGUGACGGAUGAUAACAAUGAUGACAUGGAGUGUGAACAGGUAAUUUGAUUAAGCUGCUCUGUGUUGUUAAUGUUUGGGGUAAUGUUAGGCUCUAAAUGACAACUGACAUGGAAAAGCCACUACAGUAGGAUCUUGCCAGUAUUGUUUACAUUGGUGCCUGAAAAAUGCCAUUAUUAGUGAAAAUUUUAUCUGCUUAACAUUAAAUACAUGUAUUUAAAAUACAAUGCUGCUUUAAAAGACCCUAGUUGCAGAAAAAGACUCCAUAAGGCCUUAAGCCAUAGAGAUCCCUUUGGUUAGUGUUUGCCUUCCUGUCUUUGAGGCACGGGUAAAAAUUUUUGGUGGAAUGUUUGGGAAAAGAUUUAUUCUCUUAAAUAAAUUAAUUUCUCACAUGCUUCAAGGAAUGAAACCCCACAACACUUGGUGGCUAACGGUGGUUCCUUUCCUGUGAUGUAUUUUCCCAUGUAGGGGCAGGAUAUUGGAUAGCCUGCAUCUCUAGAAGGAGCUCUGAUCUUUCUAUCAUAAAUAAUGUACAGUAAACCCUUGCUUCUCUGAGCCACGAUAUAAUGAAUUUCAACUUUAACAAACAAUUUUGCCUUUCCAGUGUGUGCGGGGAUUUACCAACAAGUUUAGUAAUUGUGGGGUU
Molecule: long non-coding RNA, 1322 nt
Organism: Eriocheir sinensis (Chinese mitten crab)
Lineage: Eukaryota; Metazoa; Arthropoda; Malacostraca; Decapoda; Varunidae
Exons: 3
Source: RefSeq, a predicted model, not a curated record